GGAGUCUGGGCCGUAUCUCAGUCCCAAUGUGGCCGUUUAACCUCUCAGUCCGGCUACUGAUCGUCGUCUUGGUAAGCCGUUACCUCACCAACUAACUAAUCAGAUAUAAGUCCAUCUAUUAGCGGAUUUCUCCUUUCCCACUUGGAAGAUGUCUCCCAUAUGGCAUAUGCGGUAUUAGCAGUCAUUUCUAACUGUUGUUCCCCUCUAACAGGCAGGUUACUUAUACAUUACUCACCAGUCCGCCACUAAAGCCAUUGUUGUAAGUCAAUCUCCAUUCCCUUUGAACAAGUUCUCUGUUCAUUUCAACAUCAUUACAACGACUUCCGUUCGACUUGCAUGUCUUAUGUGCGCCGCCAGCGUUUAUC
This 365-nucleotide ribosomal RNA is filed under the name uncultured Oscillospiraceae bacterium. RNAcentral describes it as "partial 16S ribosomal RNA". Lineage: Bacteria; Bacillati; Bacillota; Clostridia; Eubacteriales; Oscillospiraceae. The record is from RNAcentral.